RNAcentral lists this ribosomal RNA (129 nucleotides) under Medicago truncatula (barrel medic). The record is from RNAcentral. Lineage: Eukaryota; Viridiplantae; Streptophyta; Magnoliopsida; Fabales; Fabaceae.
AGAUGUGAUCAUACUAGAACUAAUACACCGUAUCCAAUCAAAACUUCGCAGUUAACUAUUUCCAUUGCGUGCUUGGACAACAGUAGUACUAGGAUGAGUGACCUCCUGGAAGUCCUGGUAUUGCACCUC